UCCGAGUUGACCCCGGCGGUCUCCCGUGAGUCCCCAACCCUCCGAAGAGGUUGCUGGCAACACGGGACAAGGGUUGCGCUCGUUGCGGGACUUAACCCAACAUCUCACGACACGAGCUGACGACAGCCAUGCAGCACCUGUCACCGGUCCAGCCGAACUGAAGGAAUCCAUCUCUGGAAACCGCGACCGGGAUGUCAAGGGCUGGUAAGGUUCUGCGCGUUGCUACGAAUUAAACCACAUGCUCCACCGCUUGUGCGGGCCCCCGUCAAUUCCUUUAUGUUUUAGUCUUGCGACCGUACUCCACAGGCGGGAUGCUUAACGCGUUAGCUUCGCUACUACACGGGUCGAUACGUUUAACAGCUAGCAUCCAUCGUUUACGGCGUGGACUAC
RNAcentral lists this unclassified non-coding RNA (390 nucleotides) under uncultured Alphaproteobacteria bacterium. RNAcentral describes it as "contains 16S-23S intergenic spacer region". The record is from RNAcentral. Lineage: Bacteria; Pseudomonadati; Pseudomonadota; Alphaproteobacteria.